CACGUAGGCGGUCUGCUAAGUUCGGAGUGACAGUCACCAGCUUAACUGGUGAAGUACUUUGAAAACUGGCGGACUUGAGAGCGAAAGAGGGACAUGGAAUUCCGGGUGGAGCAGUGAAAUGCGUAGAGAUCCGGAGGAACACCAAAGGCGAAGGCAGUGUCCUGGCUCGUUUCUGACGCUGAGGUGCGAAAGCCAGGGGAGCGAACGGGAUUAGAUACCCCGGUAGUCCUGGCCGUAAACGAUGACCACCAGGCGUGGGAGGGAUCGACCCCUUCCGUGCCGUAGUCAACACAUUAAGUGGUCCGCCUGGGGAGUACGGUCGCAAGACUAAA
RNAcentral lists this ribosomal RNA (332 nucleotides) under uncultured bacterium. Its description in RNAcentral is "bacterial SSU rRNA". It matches the Rfam family "Bacterial small subunit ribosomal RNA", at positions 568 to 898 of the family's 1533-position model. The record is from RNAcentral.